This 507-nucleotide ribosomal RNA is filed under the name uncultured bacterium. Its description in RNAcentral is "bacterial SSU rRNA". It matches the Rfam family "Bacterial small subunit ribosomal RNA", at positions 32 to 516 of the family's 1533-position model. The record is from RNAcentral.
AAUCAACGCUGGCGGCGUGCCUAACACAUGCAAGUCGAACGCGAAAGUGGAGCAAUCCAUGAGUAGAGUGGCAAACGGGUGAGUAACACGUGGGUGACCUGCCUUCGAGUGGGGGAUAACGUUUCGAAAGGAACGCUAAUACCGCAUAACAUGCUGUCUUUUAACAGAUGGACAUCAAAGCCGGGGACCGCAAGGCCUGGCGCUUGAAGAGGGGCCCGCGCCUGAUUAGCUAGUUGGUGGGUAAUGGCUCACCAAGGCAACGAUCAGUAUCCGGCCUGAGAGGGCGGACGGACACACUGGGACUGAGACACGGCCCAGACUCCUACGGGAGGCAGCAGUGGGAAUUGUUCGCAAUGGGCGCAAGCCUGACGACGCAACGCCGCGUGGAGGAUGAAGAUCUUCGGGUCGUAAACUCCUUUCGAUCGAGACGAAUGGCCCUUGGGCUAAUACCCUGAGGGAGUGACGGUACCGAGAGAAGAAGCCCCGGCUAACUCCGUGCCAGCAGCC